Molecule: ribosomal RNA, 253 nt
Filed under: uncultured bacterium
Lineage: Bacteria
Description: partial 16S ribosomal RNA
Rfam family: Bacterial small subunit ribosomal RNA
Source: RNAcentral
GACGAACCGUGCGAACGUUGUUCGGAAUCACUGGGCUUAAAGGGCGCGUAGGCGGGCCUUCAAGUCCGGGGUGAAAUCCUCCCGCUUAACGGGAGAAGAGCCUCGGAGACUGAGGGCCUCGAGGAGGGUAGGGGCGUGCGGAACUAUGGGUGGAGCGGUGAAAUGCAUUGAUAUCCAUAGGAACUCCGGUGGCGAAGGCGGCACGCUGGACCCUUUCUGACGCUGAGGCGCGAAAGCCAGGGGAGCAAACGGG